GUGAACGCUGGCGGCAGGCCUAACACAUGCAAGUCGAGCGGCAGCGCGGGGGCAACCCUGGCGGCGAGCGGCGGACGGGUGAGGAAUGCAUCGGAAUCUACCUCGUUGUGGGGGAUAACCUCGGGAAACCGGGACUAAUACCGCAUACGACCUACGGGUGAAAGUGGGGGACCUUCGGGCCUCACGCGAUGAGAUGAGCCGAUGCCGGAUUAGCUAGUUGGCGGGGUAAAGGCCCACCAAGGCGACGAUCCGUAGCUGGUCUGAGAGGAUGAUCAGCCACACUGGAACUGAGACACGGUCCAGACUCCUACGGGAGGCAGCAGUGGGGAAUAUUGGACAAUGGGCGCAAGCCUGAUCCAGCCAUGCCGCGUGUGUGAAGAAGGCCUUCGGGUUGUAAAGCACUUUUGUUGGGGAAGAAACCGGCCGGAUUAAUACUUCGGCUGAAUGACGGUACCCAAAGAAUAAGCACCGGCUAACUUCGUGCCAGCAGCCGCGGUAAUACGAAGGGUGCAAGCGUUACUCGGAAUUACUGGGCGUAAAGCGUGCGUAGGCGGUUUGUU
This 560-nucleotide ribosomal RNA is filed under the name uncultured bacterium. Its description in RNAcentral is "bacterial SSU rRNA". It matches the Rfam family "Bacterial small subunit ribosomal RNA", at positions 29 to 584 of the family's 1533-position model. The record is from RNAcentral.